UUCUUUUCAAUCCAAUGGGUCGAUUUUCGCUACUCAUCUUCCAAUCAUUCCCGGUGGGCUUCCAAUACAAUAUCCUGCUCUUGUUGCAAACUCUAUUUGUUCUGAAUCCAUUUGGGUCCAAAAAAUUACUAUGGAUCUCUGCAGUAGUAAUGUUACAAGACUAAGAAAUAAAAUGACAAUAUUCAUGUGAUGAAAAACUAAGGAGCUGUCUUCUUACCGUUUUCAAACCGUUUCUGUUUUCGAUUUUCCAAAAUAGUGAAAACGCAUUCUCCUUCUCAUUUUUGAACGUUUUGGGUGUUCUUUUGGCAAAACCCGGCAUUUUAACGAGACACGGGAAACACUCUCAUUUCUGUUUCUCUUCACCACCGCAUAUCCCGCUCUCGCAUAUCCUCUCUCUCAUACCCAUUCUCACCACCUGUUCUGGUUGAAAUUGGUUUGGGUCCAUUGCUGGGUAAGGUGCAACAGAAGCAGACGAUGUUGACCCAUGUGGUCCGCCACCAUGGAUUGACGUGACAGCGUUGGAAUUUUGAAAGAGAUCAAUCUAGGUCAAUUGGGGAUCGCGAAUGGCGAUUUUUCUGGAACCGGGAUUCAAAUCUGCUGCUAAAUCUUAUACAAUGUGGGAGCGGUUUCUUCCGUCGGAUUAUCAAGAUAUUAUUUCAAAUUGCAAAAUCUGCCCCCAAAGCUUUGGCUAUAGCUUCUCUACUCCACACUGUCUACUCAAUACGCUCAUCUUCCAGCACGCUUCGAGCUCCAACGCUUGCUGAUCUGCCCAUUUCUCUUUCUUUCAACAGUUUGGGUUUGGGAAUUGUGUGGAGUAAGANNNNN
This 825-nucleotide long non-coding RNA is filed under the name Olea europaea (common olive). RNAcentral's name for it is "long non-coding RNA (OEUR_LNC003305)". The record is from RNAcentral. Lineage: Eukaryota; Viridiplantae; Streptophyta; Magnoliopsida; Lamiales; Oleaceae.